CCUACGGGAGGCAGCAGUGGGGAAUAUUGGACAAUGGGCGAAAGCCUGAUCCAGCCAUGCCGCGUGUGUGAAGAAGGCCUUCGGGUUGUAAAGCACUUUCAGUGGGGAAGAAAGCCUUGGGGCUAAUACCCUCGAGGAAGGACAUCACCCACAGAAGAAGCACCGGCUAACUCCGUGCCAGCAGCCGCGGUAAUACGGAGGGUGCGAGCGUUAAUCGGAAUUACUGGGCGUAAAGCGCGCGUAGGCGGUCUGAUAAGCCGGUUGUGAAAGCCCCGGGCUCAACCUGGGAACGGCAUCCGGAACUGUCAGGCUAGAGUGCAGGAGAGGAAGGUAGAAUUCCCGGUGUAGCGGUGAAAUGCAUAGAGAUCGGGAGGAAUACCAGUGGCGAAGGCGGCCUUCUGAACUGACACUGACGCUGAGGUGCGAAAGCGUGGGUAGCAAACAGGAUUAGAUACCCCGGUAGUC
RNAcentral lists this ribosomal RNA (465 nucleotides) under Vreelandella stevensii. RNAcentral's name for it is "partial 16S ribosomal RNA". It matches the Rfam family "Bacterial small subunit ribosomal RNA", at positions 338 to 795 of the family's 1533-position model. Lineage: Bacteria; Pseudomonadati; Pseudomonadota; Gammaproteobacteria; Oceanospirillales; Halomonadaceae. The record is from RNAcentral.